RNAcentral lists this small RNA (39 nucleotides) under Arabidopsis thaliana (thale cress). RNAcentral describes it as "ATSL266320". The record is from RNAcentral. Lineage: Eukaryota; Viridiplantae; Streptophyta; Magnoliopsida; Brassicales; Brassicaceae.
CCCGAUGACGAAACCGUCCUCCGCCGCGAUGGUAAUAAU